GGACAAUAUACAAAAAUUCAUGAAGUCUCAUAUGUAACAUAAACUGAUGAACGCAGUAAAUACUCGGAGAACAAACAAAAUAGUAUGCUAGCUCAUGUUCCCGCUGUAAAUGUACUACAACCUGGAAUACCAUGUGUUUAAAAAGACAAUACAAAACAAUAGAAAGAGGGAAACAAUAUUGCUUGAGUUACACCGUAGGAUAUAGAAAAGGGUACUAUGACUGUGUUACACACAUACAACAGCGUAACAGCAACGUGUGUCUUAAGUGUUAUCAGUCACUGAGGUGACACACCAGUGAGACACUCCAAGGGUGUCUUGGGGCUUAAAGGGACACUCCAGGCACCCAGACCACUUCUGCCCAUUGGAGUGGUCUGGGUGCCAACUCCCACCACCCUUAACCCUGCAACUGUAAUUAUUACCUUGCAGGGUUAAGUCCUCCACUAGUGGCUGUCUACUAGACAGCCACUAGAGGGCACGUCCGGGAUAAUAGCACAGAUUAUCUGUGCUAUAGCGUCGCUGGACGUCCUCACGGUGUGUGAAGACCUCCAGCGUCGCUAAAAUCCCCAUAGGAAAGCAUUUUCAAGGCUUUCCUAUGGAGAAGUCUAAUGCACGCCGCGCAUGCGCAUUAGGUCUCCCCAGCAGGCGGGCGGGAUCAGUCUCUCCUGCCUGCUGACGUAAUGAAGGGGAGGACCGGCGGCGGAGGAAGAAGCAGCGACGUGGGACAUGUCGCUGCCUCUGGUAAGUGACUGAAGGGGUUUGCACCCCUUCAGCAACCAGGGAUGGGAGGUGGGAGGGAGAGGGACCUGCAGUGCCAAGAAAACUGAUUGUUUUACUGGCACUGGAGAGUCC
This is a non-coding RNA of Pelobates cultripes (western spadefoot toad), 849 nucleotides long. The record is from the annotation of a GenBank genome assembly. Lineage: Eukaryota; Metazoa; Chordata; Amphibia; Anura; Pelobatidae.